Molecule: long non-coding RNA, 583 nt
Filed under: Olea europaea (common olive)
Lineage: Eukaryota; Viridiplantae; Streptophyta; Magnoliopsida; Lamiales; Oleaceae
Description: long non-coding RNA (OEUR_LNC013840)
Source: RNAcentral
AUGAACACAAAAUAAAACUCACUGGAAGAUGUUUAAUGUACUUUAAAAUUCACAGGAUAAAUAACUCAAAUAGAAUCGUUAAAUCCAUCACAUCUUUCACUUUACUCAAAAACGAAAAAGCAAAGAAAAGCGUACAAGUAUCAAAACAAGCUGGCCCAACAAUGACAAAUACUAAAAACAGAUAGGUAAACUUUUGCAAUAGAACUUCAAAAGAAUCAGUAAGUAAAGAAGAACAAAGUUGUCCAUCAAGAUCAUACAUAACUCCCCUUUCCCAUUCAUGGUGCUGGGAUGUUUAAGUGAGUAAGUGCAGGCACAUGUUUACAGCUGAUAGUUCAAAACUACUAGAAGGUAGAGUCAUCGUGAAAUAUCUGAGUGUAGAAUUGACAAUAGCAGAUGCUAAACAUGUCAACAAGGCUUCUUCCUGCAAAACAGUCACCCACUCAGCAUCACAGAUGGGUGAUCACAGAAUGCCUCCCAUCAUAUCAUCACUGAUUCAUUGUGAAAACCUCCGACCUGAGAUAAAGACGAGAUUUAUUACCAAGUAUUUCAAAAAAGGUUGAUGGAAUUAAAUUGUUGAUAAACG